This 253-nucleotide ribosomal RNA is filed under the name uncultured bacterium. Its description in RNAcentral is "partial 16S ribosomal RNA". It matches the Rfam family "Bacterial small subunit ribosomal RNA", at positions 524 to 776 of the family's 1533-position model. The record is from RNAcentral.
UACGUAGGGUGCGAGCGUUGUCCGGAAUUAUUGGGCGUAAAGAGCUUGUAGGCGGUUUGUCGCGUCUGCUGUGAAAUUUCGGGGCUCAACCCCGAACUUGCAGUGGGUACGGGCAGACUAGAGUGUGGUAGGGGAGACUGGAAUUCCUGGUGUAGCGGUGAAAUGCGCAGAUAUCAGGAGGAACACCGAUGGCGAAGGCAGAUCUCUGGGCCGUAACUGACGCUGAGGAGCGAAAGCAUGGGGAGCGAACAGG